Molecule: ribosomal RNA, 471 nt
Filed under: uncultured bacterium
Lineage: Bacteria
Description: bacterial SSU rRNA
Rfam family: Bacterial small subunit ribosomal RNA
Source: RNAcentral
ACGAACGCUGGCGGCGUGCCUAACACAUGCAAGUCACGGGGGUCCGUAGCAAUACGGGCAACCGGCGAACGGGUGCGUAACACGUGAGCAAUCUGCCGAUUUCUGGGGGAUAGCCGGUCCAACGACCGGGUAAUACCGCAUACGCUCAUUGGGGGGCAUUCCCCGAUGAGGAAACCUCCGGGGGAAAUCGAGGAGCUCGCGGCCUAUCAGCUAGUUGGUGCGGUAACGGCGCACCAAGGCGACGACGGGUAGCUGGUCUGAGAGGAUGGCCAGCCACAUUGGGACUGCGACACGGCCCAGACUCCUACGGGAGGCAGCAGUGGGGAAUAUUGCGCAAUGGACGAAAGUCUGACGCAGCGACGCCGCGUGUGGGAUGAAGCUUUUCGGAGUGUAAACCACUGUUGCUCGGGACGAACAUCCCUUUUCGAGGGGACUGACGGUACCGAGUGAGGAAGCACCGGCUAACUCUGU